UCAGAUAUUUUAGACCUCAUCAAUCACAGAAAAAAGUCUUCAUCUGCAUAGUGCAGACUGAACAUGGAAACAAAGAGGAAAACGGAAAAUUAAUUUCACAUUACUCUCAGUGUCUUAGUUCCAAGAAUUGGUUAAAAUCUUAGUAGUGUCUAAUGAUGCGUUUCUUUGUUUCAGAAAUGCUGCUGGAUGACUUCCUGUUGACCUACCUGGUGUUCAUGUCCACCAAUGACCUCUGUCAGGCUCUACUAGGACAAUAUCCUUUCUGGAAUCACUAAUUCACACAUAGACACAAACAUCUAACCUACACACUGCCUGUCUUUGUCUCCUUGACUGCUCUCACUUAUAGCAGUGCUUGCUGCAGGGGCCAGGAGGAGGGCAAAGACGCCCUCUUCAGAAAGCGUAAGGUACUGCAGCUGGUCUCCCACUGGAGCAGACUCUACAAGGAUUUCCUCAAGGAUGAGGAGCACGUCAGGAGCUUCAUGAAGACACUGUACAGGUAUGUUUUAGAAGACUUGUACGAGUUCCCCACACUCGAGAAAGACCUGAAGGAGUUCCAGAAACUUCUGCGCCGCAGACACACUGUGGAUGACUGCCCUCCUAACCAAAAGAGUAAACAAACGUAUCAGCAGUUGAGUUUGAAGGAAAACUGUUUACAGCUUCGGAGCCCACCAACAGAGACAAGAGAGGGUACGUAACAAAGAUAAAGAUAUAAACAACACCAAGCACAACACACUGCCCAGGACUGAAAGCAAUCAUACAUAAUGACAGUCUGCAAGUUCUAUGUUCAUGCAUAAUGUGCACAUUGAAUAAAGAGCUUCAUUUUGUCUUUUUGAGCACUCAAAAAUAAACUCAAGUCUCCCUCUUCAAUAUUGCACUUAACCCUUGCCAAAUCUGCUGUAUUUAUCUCUUUACCAUGAAACCUUGAAGAACCCUUAAGCCAACCUGUAUAUAAAUAUUAAGUUUACUUUUUCAAUGUGGAGUUUGUGCAUUGAAUUAUUUAUGUAAUUAAGUUGCUCUUUUUCUGCAUGUUUUCCUCUGUGUGCUUGCUUGUCUUUGUAGUUUGCUUUUUAAAAGGCAAAGGGGGGUUGUCAUGUGACCUAAAGCUCAGCUCUGAAGUGGGAAUCACCAUUAAAUGUGACUGUAGUGUUUUCAGUCAGAGCCUCGUGUAAAGGCCAGGAUGAACAGCUCAGCCUGCCUCGUUUACUGGCUUCAUUUGAAAGAAACCGUCUUCUUUGUCCCCUAAAUGUACUGCAACAGUCUGGACUGAGUCUUGCAACUUUUCACCCAAACCAUGCUAUGUAUGUGAUGUCUGUUUUUAUAAUAAAUAUUUUAAUCAUCA
Labrus mixtus (cuckoo wrasse) is the source of this 1339-nucleotide long non-coding RNA. RefSeq lists it as uncharacterized. Lineage: Eukaryota; Metazoa; Chordata; Actinopteri; Labriformes; Labridae. The record is from RefSeq and is a predicted model, not a curated record. The transcript has 4 exons.